ACAUAAUUUAUUUGCUCAGGUGCUUUGGGUAUGUGAAAGCUCAUAAACCCAAAGAUAAUAGGGAAUCCGGUGAAAUUCCGGAGCAGCACCCACUACUGUAACUUGGACGAAGCUUCCGUGAGACAAAAUCUCGCCACUGAUACCAUAUCGGGAAGGCAGGAAGCAGAGGAAGAAGAGAAGUCAGGAGACCUGCCUGGUCAAAAGCCGUUUA
This 211-nucleotide non-coding RNA is filed under the name Ruminiclostridium hungatei. The record is from RNAcentral. Lineage: Bacteria; Bacillati; Bacillota; Clostridia; Eubacteriales; Oscillospiraceae.